RNAcentral lists this ribosomal RNA (445 nucleotides) under uncultured bacterium. Its description in RNAcentral is "bacterial SSU rRNA". It matches the Rfam family "Bacterial small subunit ribosomal RNA", at positions 28 to 456 of the family's 1533-position model. The record is from RNAcentral.
GAUGAACGCUGGCGGCGUGCUUAACACAUGCAAGUCGAACGGGAAACCUUUUAUUGAAGCUUCGGCAGAUUUAGAUUGUUUCUAGUGGCGGACGGGUGAGUAACGCGUGGGUAACCUGCCUUAUACAGGGGGAUAACAGUCAGAAAUGACUGCUAAUACCGCAUAAGCGCACAGAGCUGCAUGGCUCAGUGUGAAAAACUCCGGUGGUAUAAGAUGGACCCGCGUUGGAUUAGCUAGUUGGUGAGGUAACGGCCCACCAAGGCGACGAUCCAUAGCCGGCCUGAGAGGGUGAACGGCCACAUUGGGACUGAGACACGGCCCAGACUCCUACGGGAGGCAGCAGUGGGGAAUAUUGCACAAUGGGGGAAAUCCUGAUGCAGCGAUGCCGCGUGAAGGAAGAAGUAUCUCGGUAUGUAAACUUCUAUCAGCAGGGAAGAAAAUGACG